Leguminivora glycinivorella is the source of this 217-nucleotide long non-coding RNA. RefSeq lists it as uncharacterized. The record is from RefSeq and is a predicted model, not a curated record. The transcript has 3 exons. Lineage: Eukaryota; Metazoa; Arthropoda; Insecta; Lepidoptera; Tortricidae.
AAAUUAUUUAUUCCCAUUAACAGCCGUGUUGAGCGCAGCUAUCCUAACCGUAAGCUCGUCCACCAGCUUGUCUUUCGGGACCUCGUUUUCCUCUCUCGUCGUGAUGUUGCGUAUCUUGACGACUCCCCGUUUGAGCUCGUCAUCUCCUAACACCACGGCUAAUGGGAUGCCGGAUUCUUCACAAUGUUGGAGCUGGUUCAGCAUUUUUGGGUUCUUC